RNAcentral lists this ribosomal RNA (1274 nucleotides) under Candidatus Phytoplasma cynodontis. RNAcentral describes it as "bacterial SSU rRNA". It matches the Rfam family "Bacterial small subunit ribosomal RNA", at positions 134 to 1399 of the family's 1533-position model. Lineage: Bacteria; Bacillati; Mycoplasmatota; Mollicutes; Acholeplasmatales; Acholeplasmataceae. The record is from RNAcentral.
AAGACGAGGAUAACAAUUGGAAACAGUUGCUAAGACUGGAUAGGAAAUUAGAAGGCAUCUUUUAAUUUUUAAAAGACCUUUUUCGAAAGGUAUACUUAAAGAGGGGCUUGCGGCACAUUAGUUAGUUGGUAGGGUAAAAGCCUACCAAGACUAUGAUGUGUAGCUGGACUGAGAGGUUGAACAGCCACAUUGGGACUGAGACACGGCCCAAAACUCCUACGGGAGGCAGCAAAAAGUAGGGAAUUUUUCGGCAAUUGGAGGAAACUCUGACCGAAGCAACGCCGCGUGAACGAUGAAGUAUUUCGGUAUGUAAAGUUCUUUUAUUGAAGAAGAAAAAAUAGUGGAAAAACUAUCUUGACGAUAUUCAAUGAAUAAGCCCCGGCAAACUAUGUGCCAGCAGCCGCGGUAAUACAUAGGGGGCGAGCGUUAUCCGGAAUUAUUGGGCGUAAAGGGUGCGUAGGCGGUUUGGUAAGUCUAUAGUUUAAUUUCAGUGCUUAACACUGUUCUGCUAUAGAAACUAUCAGACUAGAGUGAGAUAGAGGCAAGUGGAAUUCCAUGUGUAGCGGUAAAAUGCGUAAAUAUAUGGAGGAACACCAGAGGCGUAGGCGGCUUGCUGGGUCUUUACUGACGCUGAGGCACGAAAGCGUGGGGAGCAAACAGGAUUAGAUACCCUGGUAGUCCACGCCGUAAACGAUGAGUACUAAGUGUCGGGGAAACUCGGUACUGAAGUUAACACAUUAAGUACUCCGCCUGAGUAGUACGUACGCAAGUAUGAAACUUAAAGGAAUUGACGGGACUCCGCACAAGCGGUGGAUCAUGUUGUUUAAUUCGAAGAUACACGAAAAACCUUACCAGGUCUUGACAUACUCUGCAAAGCUAUAGCAAUAUAGUGGAGGUUAUCAGGGAUACAGGUGGUGCAUGGUUGUCGUCAGCUCGUGUCGUGAGAUGUUAGGUUAAGUCCUAAAACGAGCGCAACCCUUGUCACUAGUUGCCAGCAUGUUAUGAUGGGCACUUUAGUGAGACUGCCAAUGAAAAAUUGGAGGAAGGUGAGGAUCACGUCAAAUCAUCAUGCCCCUUAUGAUCUGGGCUACAAACGUGAUACAAUGGCUGUUACAAAGAGUAGCUAAAACGCGAGUUUAUAGCCAAUCUCAUAAAAGCAGUCUCAGUUCGGAUUGAAGUCUGCAACUCGACUUCAUGAAGUUGGAAUCGCUAGUAAUCGCGAAUCAGCAUGUCGCGGUGAAUACGUUCUCGGGGUUUGUACACACCGCCCGUCA